UUAUGUCUGCAUUUGUGCUUUAUAGAUAAUAUGGAUGGCUGUCUGUUCUUGGGAUGGAGAGUAGAAGCCGAAAUUCAGCUAUGCAUUUCCAACAUACGUAGCCUUAUUUCCUCUAUGUAUUGUUCUGGCCAUGUCAGUUUACCAAGUUUUUAAAUUUGGUAUUUUCAGUACAGACAAAUGAUGGUUCUGGACAUGCAUGAUUUUGCAUACGUGCAGUCUCUUUACCUUCAUAAAGUAUCCAUUUGAGCAACAAAUACACAAAAUGACUAUCAAAUUUGAUUGGAGAUUCUUAUGAAUAGUAUUUGGUAUUACGGUGGCUGUUCUUCCCACACUGUCUGGAGGCUGGGGGCCUCUGGAUGGGGGACAGCAGGCUUCAGCUGAACCCUGGUAAGACAGAGGGGUUGUGGGUGUGUGGAGCCUCGGGAUCAGCUUGUCUCUGCCAUCUGCUGGUAUGUUUGGCACUUCCUCUGGACACUGGCUUGCCCACCCACCUGGAUGAGCUCGUCUCCGCUGCUACUCCUGGUGCCCUCUCUGGUCACUGUCUCACCCAUUUAAUGCCUGCUGGCUUCACGCUCUCUCUCUCUCUCUCUCUUUCUCUCUCUCUCUCUUUCUCUCUCUCUCUCUUUCUCUCUCCACCCACCUUGCUGUUUCUCAUCUUCCUUCACUCUUUGUCCUCCUUCCUUCUGGGUGAUUCCCUCUCCCUGGUGGUCAUCCUGGGAUGCCCCUUCCUGCCACUGGCUGGGUGCCACCCCUCAGGCGUCCACAUCUGAUCACCAGCCAAGCGCCACUGCCCCAGGACACCUGCAGUCCCCUACCUCCCAGCUGAUCAGCUGUGCAUCACGGAUGACACCAAUCUUAUCUCUGCCUUGGACACCUACAGACACCCGGUGCCCAGCUGAUCAGCUGUGCACUGCUGCCGUUGUGGAUCUUGAAUCCAGCCAGCUGUUGUCCAGCUGAUCAGCUCCAGUGAACACUGCUGCUGGCCAGGGCUCUGGCAUAGCUCCGGUGAACAUCGCUGCUCCAGCCCAGCUACACCCCUCUAUUACUUCUUAUUUAAUUAAAUAAAUGCAGAUAGCUAAAAGCAAUCUUUGCUUCUAGUUUCUUUGUUAUUUGAAAAAUAUAAACGAAAGGAAUCUUAAUGUACAUUGCAGGAUGGUAUACCUAAGUCUUUCACCCUUUCACCAUGGUAGAAACAUACCUGGCAAUCAUUUCCUCCAUAUUUCCCAUGCUGUAGCUUUCAUCUUGUUUUCAGUUCAUGGAUGAGAUAGACUUAGGUCAUCCUUGGCUAUAUCAGAGUUAGUGUAGUGAAUGACUUUGAUGGCCGUGGCAACAGCCAUUAUGCUUUUGCCAUUAGCUUGGAAGUAUUGUGACUACUGAGGGUGCUUGGAAGUAUUGUGACAACAGAGGGGGCCAACAGAGCAGGGCUUUUCAGCUGUUUCAUUUUGAUAUGAAUGCUCCCCCUUCCCUCUGCUUUGCCUCUGCUACCACCUUUCUCCUGUUUUCUCCCCAAAGAGCUGGAGGUAGCAAGCUUCAGGAUUGUGCAGUUGAGCUACACUGCUCAGCUGGUUGUUCUAAAACUGUUUUAAUUCUAUGGGUUACUGAUUUAGCACAAGGCUGAAUUAGCUAAACAGCCACAUGAUAUAGGAAAUAGACGGCUGUAUUUUUAAACAUGCAAAUGGUGAUAGAAGAGCAAUGGAGCUUCCCAGCUCUUCCUGUUACCUUGCUAUGAGCUAAACUCAUAUCAUGGUUGCACGUGAUGUCAGUCAGCCUCACUAAAUGAAGGGUAGGUUGAUAUAAAUGUUAAGCUCAGGAAAACUAUACUGUGAGGAUUGAUAAUUGUAAUGUAAGUGCAGUGUCCAGUGGAAUAUAAAAAUUCCAGUAAGUGAAUUUCAUGAUCAUGUUUAAGGGAAAGUCCUCCUGCAUCUGAGGCAAGUUCAGUUUAAUUCCAGUUUCCUCAGUGAUAAGCCAACUGCUCCAGGGAACCUACAAAUAGGAUUCUAGUAAUCUCUCCACAGUGAUGCUGUCCACAUAUUGUUAUUCUAUAUGGUAUCCUGUUUUUGAAGGAGAUUCCCUCAGUAGACCUACUUUUAUGAAUUCAUCUGAUUCUCAUUUUAGAGCUAAGCCCUUAGCCAGCAUCAGAUUCUGAGGCACAGAAUUCUUUAAAUUGAAAGUUUUUUAAGUUGUCCGUAUUGGCAAUCAUGCUCAUUGGGGAAAUUUGUUCUGUUGUUGGGGGAGAUAAUUUUUAUCUCCUCCAACCAUAUUAAUUUUUUUGAGAUAUCUUUUUCUAAGAUAAUAGCUUAAUUGCAUCAGUCUUGUCUCACUUGAAAUAUGCUUUCAACAUUUUAGUUACUUGGCUGUCUUAAUUUUCUUUUAAAGAGAACUGUUACUGACUACAAUUGGGUGUGUACUGACUACACAUCAAUUGGUUGUGAAAAACUAUUAAUCCAAACCUAUGUAUGAAGUCCAUGGUUGUUAUUAGAGAGGACAGGAUAAUUCUCAUGCUUCCACCUCUUAAAAGGUAGAACAAAUACAGAAGAAUAUGCUAUUUAUUGAUAUCUGUGAUAUCUGACUGUAUGUAUUUUAUUGGAUCAAUAAUCCAGUGCUAGCCAUUCGUUUUAUUGCACAGGUGGUUAAAAUCAUUUGACUUACAUAUAUAUAAAUAUUAUAAAAGAGGACAACUUCAUGACAAAUAUCAAAAAUAUGGACCAAUCACGUUGUGAUUUUGUUUGUGUUAACAUUUGUAAAGGGUUUCUAUAGAAUUCCAAAGGCCUUUCUUAAUCCUUUUCAUGGAAGUUUGA
Molecule: long non-coding RNA, 2798 nt
Organism: Pantherophis guttatus
Lineage: Eukaryota; Metazoa; Chordata; Lepidosauria; Squamata; Colubridae
Source: RefSeq, a predicted model, not a curated record